AAAGGAAUUGACGGGGGCCCGCACAAGCGGUGGAGCAUGUGGUUUAAUUCGACGCAACGCGAAGAACCUUACCAGGUCUUGACAUCCCCUGACGGCCCAAGAAAUUGGGAGUUUGGUUUUCGGACUGACAGGGAGACAGGUGGUGCAUGGUUGUCGUCAGCUCGUGUCGUGAGAUGUUGGGUUAAGUCCCGCAACGAGCGCAACCCUUAUCUUUAGUUGCCAGCACAUAAGGUGGGCACUCUAAAGAGACUGCCGGUGACAAACCGGAGGAAGGUGGGGAUGACGUCAAAUCAUCAUGCCCUUUAUGGCCUGGGCUACACACGUGCUACAAUGGUCUGUACAGAGGGUAGCGAAGCUGUGAAGCGGAGCCAAUCCCAAAAAGCAGAUCUCAGUUCGGAUUGCAGGCUGCAACUCGCCUGCAUGAAGUCGGAAUCGCUAGUAAUCGCGGAUCAGCAUGCCGCGGUGAAUACGUUCCCGGGCCUUGUACACACCGCCCGU
RNAcentral lists this ribosomal RNA (498 nucleotides) under uncultured bacterium. RNAcentral describes it as "bacterial SSU rRNA". It matches the Rfam family "Bacterial small subunit ribosomal RNA", at positions 903 to 1397 of the family's 1533-position model. The record is from RNAcentral.